GACAGAGGAUGCAAGCGUUAUCCGGAAUGAUUGGGCGUAAAGCGUCUGUAGGUGGUUUAUUAAGUCUACUGUUAAAGAUCAGGGCUUAACCCUGAGCAGGCAAUAGAAACUAAUAAGCUAGAGUACGGUAGGGGCAGAGGGAAUUCCCGGUGUUGCGGUGAAAUGCGUAGAGAUCGGGAAGAACACCAACGGCGAAAGCACUCUGCUGGGCCGAAACUGACACUGAGAGACGAAAGCUAGGGGAGCAAAUGGG
RNAcentral lists this ribosomal RNA (253 nucleotides) under uncultured bacterium. Its description in RNAcentral is "partial 16S ribosomal RNA". It matches the Rfam family "Bacterial small subunit ribosomal RNA", at positions 524 to 776 of the family's 1533-position model. The record is from RNAcentral.